Molecule: regulatory RNA element, 125 nt
Organism: Ruminococcaceae bacterium D16
Lineage: Bacteria; Bacillati; Bacillota; Clostridia; Eubacteriales; Oscillospiraceae
Rfam family: azaaromatic riboswitch aptamer (yjdF RNA)
Source: Rfam
AAAAGCAAAGAUAAAAACGCAACGCAUAUAACGAUAUAUGCCAGAGCCGGUAGGUAGCCCGGCCGUCCUGUUUAUCAGGGUAAGUAACCUGCCCCUCCGGGUUGUCCAUUCUUUGCUCAUAGCAA